CAGUAGCCGCGGUAAUACAGAGGGUGCGAGCGUUAAUCGGAUUUACUGGGCGUAAAGCGUGCGUAGGCGGCUUUUUAAGUCGGAUGUGAAAUCCCUGAGCUUAACUUAGGAAUUGCAUUCGAUACUGGGAAGCUAGAGUAUGGGAGAGGAUGGUAGAAUUCCAGGUGUAGCGGUGAAAUGCGUAGAGAUCUGGAGGAAUACCGAUGGCGAAGGCAGCCAUCUGGCCUAAUACUGACGCUGAGGUACGAAAGCAUUGGGAGCAAACAGGAUUAGAUACCCCCGUAGUCCCUGUCUCUUAUAC
This 301-nucleotide ribosomal RNA is filed under the name uncultured bacterium. RNAcentral's name for it is "partial 16S ribosomal RNA". It matches the Rfam family "Bacterial small subunit ribosomal RNA", at positions 509 to 807 of the family's 1533-position model. The record is from RNAcentral.